This is a non-coding RNA of Schistosoma mansoni, 48 nucleotides long. The record is from Rfam. NCBI's taxonomy places the organism in Eukaryota, Metazoa, Platyhelminthes, Trematoda, Strigeidida, Schistosomatidae.
AUCCAGCUGAUGAGUCCCAAAUAGGACAAAACGCGCGUCAAACUGGAU